This is a non-coding RNA of Picea glauca (white spruce), 949 nucleotides long. Lineage: Eukaryota; Viridiplantae; Streptophyta; Pinopsida; Pinales; Pinaceae. The record is from Rfam.
CUCAUAAAGAGUUGUAUCAUAUACCAAUACGAACAUUGGUGGCAUGCCUAACACAUGAAAUCCAUAUAGAAAGUAGUGUUUGCAAUGGUUGGUGGGUGAGAAACGCAUAAGAAACUACCUUUGGCAGGAGAACAACAACUAGAAAUGGUUUCUAAUACCCCAAUAGGAUAAGAAGAAAAAGGAAAAAUUCACCCAAGGAAUGCCUCACAUCCAAUUAGUUAUUUGGUGAGGUAAUGGCUUACCAAGGUGACAAACAAUAUCUAGUUCAAGAGGAUGAUUAGCCACACUGGGACUAAGACUCAACCCAAAAUCCUAUAUGAGGUAGUAGUGGGGAGUUUUUUGCAAUGGUUAAAAUCCUAACAAAGAAAUGUCACAUGAAGGCAAGAUUUCCAUGGUUUAUGAAGUUAUUUUCUUGAAGAAGAGGAAAAUAUGGUAUCUAAGGAAUAAGCAUCAACUAACUCUAUUCUAGUAACCAUUGUAAGAAAAUGGAAGAAAGAAUUAUCUGAAAUGAUUGGAUGUAAAGUGUCUAUAGGUGGAUUUUAAAGUUAAUCAUCAAAUUCUAAGGCACAACCUAGGAUAUAGGUGGAAAUUACCAAUAUGGAGUGUAGUAGAGGAAAAGGGAAUUUUUGGUGGACUGGUAAAAUGCAUUGAGAUAGGAAAGAACAACAAUGAUGAAAGUGCUAUCUUAGGAUGACACAAACACUAAGAGAUGAAAUAUAGGAAGUAAAUGGGAUUAUAUUAAUAAAGGAUGAUAUCAGUGGCCACCCACCUAUUCCAACUGGCUCAGAACGGGUUUUUGGAAACUUACUACUUUUAGCAGUUUUUUGGGUCCCAAACUUUCGAGGCCAUUUUGAGGGCCUAAACGAUGUUUUUUUCAUGAUUAGGCGCUUCAAAAAUAACCAAAUUAUCUAAUUGAGCCCCCUAAAUGAAUCUCCUUAUCAAUACCUUU